AGCAGUGUGGCUUAGUGGAAAGCACCGGCUUGGGAGUCAGAAGUCACGGGUUCUAAUCCUGGCUCUGCCA
RNAcentral lists this transfer RNA (70 nucleotides) under Ornithorhynchus anatinus (platypus). It matches the Rfam family "tRNA". Rfam says of the family: Transfer RNA (tRNA) molecules are approximately 80 nucleotides in length. Their secondary structure includes four short double-helical elements and three loops (D, anti-codon, and T loops). The record is from Rfam by way of RNAcentral. Lineage: Eukaryota; Metazoa; Chordata; Mammalia; Monotremata; Ornithorhynchidae.